Mobula hypostoma (lesser devil ray) is the source of this 2802-nucleotide long non-coding RNA. RefSeq lists it as uncharacterized. Lineage: Eukaryota; Metazoa; Chordata; Chondrichthyes; Myliobatiformes; Myliobatidae. The record is from RefSeq and is a predicted model, not a curated record. The transcript has 3 exons.
AUGAUCUGGACACAGAGUGAGCAUUGUUGUGCCCGCAGAGAAAGUGGAUUUUGGAGGAUCGAUCAGGUGGAUUGAUCCAAGUUGCUAUUCCAGUUUGAGGAGAAGGGGUUGACUGGUGGGGAGUUGUCUAUGUGUCCACCCUCGCCUGGGUGAUAGCUCCACCACAGAAGACCGGUCCCCCUGGUUAAAGUCACAGUCGGUGACUUGUAAAGGAUUUCGGAGGACGACGAGAAGAUCAGGGGCAUCAGCUCAUCUGAAGACUCAACUCACUCUCUCUCUCUCUCUCCAUCACUACUCAACUAAAUACCACGAACUGAACUGAACUGAACUUCACUCAACAUCAUUGAAAAAGAAGGAAAAGAAGUCAUGCAGCCUCUGAAGCAGGUGGGAAGAGGAAAAGCUGAAGCUUGAAGCCCAGAGGUAGGGUGGAUGCUGCAUACCAAGACAGGUUGUGGAAAAACAGGACAUGGAGUUUAGAGGAGGCAGACCAAAAUGUCAUGAUGCAUGAGCCCGGACUGGAAAACAACACUGAUACUGAUCUAGAUUUUCAAUGCUUUAUGUCCCGUGUGCCUCAUCUGAUAAUGCAAUCUGAGUUAAAUAACCUGUUCAGAGACUUGGGUUUGUCAAAGACAAAAGCAGAAUUACUGAGUUCAAGACUGGAAGGAUGGAAUCUGUUGUCACCGGGCACAAAAAAAAAUCCAUGAAGGAUUUCAAAAUUUGAAACAGACAUUUCCCAAAAUAACUCAUGCCAUGAUUAAGCAAGUCAUUUGUUAGUCCACAAGUCAAAUGGGUCAUCGAUGAUCGACACUUUGAAAAACUUGUGGGACUGGGGAAAAUUGCGUGGAAGGCAUUCAAGGAUAUUGAUGAAAAUUUUCUUGGCAUCUACAGAGCACCAAACUUGUUGACAACAUGCAUCAAGCCUACAAAACCAUGAAGUACAACAUGUCACUAAAGAUUUAUUUUCUGCAUGCAUUCCCACUUAGACUUCCCUGCAAAUCUUGGCACUGUCAGUGACAAGCAUGGUGAAAGGUUUCUCCAGGACAUUACAGUCAUUAGGAAAAUGAUAUCAGGGCAACUGGAAGCCAUCGAUGUUGGCUGAUUAUUAUUGGAACUUCAGAGAGAAGCCUCAGACACUGAGUACAAAUGAAAAUCAUCAACAAAACAAUUUUAGGUUAGUUGAACUAUUGCAAAGGCUCAGUACUAUUAUGCACUUAAACACAUUAUAUUCAAUAAAAGUUAGUUUCUUGUUUCUCCAAAUUCCUAUGUGAGAUGAGUAGUCUGAGAUUGUAUUUGUGCUCAGCUUCAAGUGGUCUAUCAUAAACCAAAAAAAAAAUUCUGAGGAAACAACAGUUGAAAAAAAUGUUGUUUUCUGGUGUGAGCGUCCUUGCAUUUAUCCCUGAGCAGUCUUACUCAACCCUUUGUUUCGGGCUCUUAACUACAUGAGGGAAUACCUUAAUAUUCUAUGUAAUGGUGAAGGUGAGAUUGGGGAGGCAUUGCGGGUAUUUCGAGAAAUCGAUGUUCAUGCCAUCAGGUUGGGGGCUACCCAGAUGGAAUUUAAGGUGUUCCUCCAGCCUGAGUGUGGCUUCAUCAAGCCCAUAGAGGAGGCCAUGGAUUGACAUAGUGGAAUGGGAAUGGGAAGUGGAAUUAAAAUGUGUGACCACCAGGAAAUCCCACUUUUUCUGGCAGGUGAUGGCAUAAACAUCGAUAUCUCAAACUUCUGGCAAUGCCUCACCACUCCACAUCCCCUUUUCCCUCUCUUACCUUAUCUCCUCGCCUGCCCAUCGCCGCUCUCUGGUGCUCCUCUCCCUUUUAUUUCUUCCAUGACCUUCUGUCCUCUCCGGUCAGACUCCCCCUUCUCCAGCCUUGUACCUCUUGUACCAAUCAACUUCCCAGCUCUUUACUUCAUCCCUUCCCCUCUGGGUUUCACCUAUCAACUUGUUUCUCUCUUCCCUCCUCCCACCUUUUAAAUCUACUCCUCAUCUUUUUUCCUCAGACCUACCGAAGGGUCUUGGCCUGAAACGUUGACUGUACUUUUUUCCGUAGAUGCUGUCUGGCCUUUUGAGUUCUUCCAGCACUUUGUGUGUGUUGCUUGUGUGUCUGCAGAUAUUCUCUUGUUUGUUUUUGAAAAAGGAUCUAGAUUUUUGUCUUUGUUUGAAAAGGUUUCGGCUGUGUGUCAUAUUACUUUUCACAGUUCAGGAAAUGAUUCAUGUUCCUGGUAUUAAAUACCUUUUGUCAAGUAUUUUAUGGUUUGAUUGUUUUUUUAUUACAAAUUAUAUUAGUCUAGAUGGAUGCCAAGAAAUUCAUCACAAUUCUGCGUGGUCAAUAUGUUUGUAGCAGAAGCAACAUUCUUGGAUGUCUCAAUGAAAUACGUUUUCAAGGCAAAGUCCAUUGUGUUGAGGCAGCCUGUUAGUGCACUUCACUCUGCACUCCUCACUCGAAGAAGGACACUUUUUGACUGUUGAAGGAGAAAGAAAGAAUAAAGUGGAAACAUUGGAAACAGAGAUCUCGUCAGCAUUAAGUGGGACAGUGUGGAGUGGAGUCAUCAUUUGCAGAUCGCUUGGUGCCAGUGUGGGGUCAGAGCUGAGACAGCUUUUCAGCUGAAAUGGCCCUGGCACCAUCCUACUCACCCUGAACACAACAAAAACUGAUAAGAAUUUUCUAAUGAACAUGGACACUUUUGAAACAGGGCAGUGUUACAGGGACAAUGUGGUUAAUGGUAAAAGCUGAACUCUGACCAGGUCGCUAAAGUGAUUAUGGAAGCCAGCAGAAAUUUAAGAUAAUUCAAAGAAACAAGUACAGAUA